This 853-nucleotide ribosomal RNA is filed under the name Wolbachia endosymbiont of Pseudolynchia sp. ES-2018. RNAcentral's name for it is "bacterial SSU rRNA". It matches the Rfam family "Bacterial small subunit ribosomal RNA", at positions 84 to 975 of the family's 1533-position model. Lineage: Bacteria; Pseudomonadati; Pseudomonadota; Alphaproteobacteria; Rickettsiales; Anaplasmataceae. The record is from RNAcentral.
GGUAUAACUUAGUGGCAGACGGGUGAGUAAUGUAUAGGAAUCUACCUAGUAGUACGGAAUAAUUGUUGGAAACGGCAACUAAUACCGUAUACGCCCUACGGGGGAAAGAUUUAUUGCUAUUAGAUGAGCCUAUAUUAGAUUAGCUAGUUGGUAAGGUAAUGGCUUACCAAGGCAAUGAUCUAUAGCUGAUCUGAGAGGAUGAUCAGCCACACUGGAACUGAGAUACGGUCCAGACUCCUACGGGAGGCAGCAGUGGGGAAUAUUGGACAAUGGGCGAAAGCCUGAUCCAGCCAUGCCGCAUGAGUGAAGAAGGCCUUUGGGUUGUAAAGCUCUUUCGGUGAGGAAGAUAAUGACGGUACUCACAGAAGAAGUCCUGGCUAACUCCGUGCCAGCAGCCGCGGUAAUACGGAGAGGGCUAGCGUUAUUCGGAAUUAUUGGGCGUAAAGAGCGCGUAGGCUGGUUAGUAAGUUAAAAGUGAAAUCCCAAAGCUCAACUUUGGAAUUGCUUUUAAAACUGCUAACCUAGAGAUUGAAAGAGGAUAGAGGAAUUCCUAGUGUAGAGGUGAAAUUCGUAAAUAUUAGGAGGAACACCAGUGGCGAAGGCGUCUAUCUGGUUCAAAUCUGACGCUGAGGCGCGAAGGCGUGGGGAGCAAACAGGAUUAGAUACCCUGGUAGUCCACGCUGUAAACGAUGAAUGUUAAAUAUGGGAAGUUUACUUUCUGUAUUACAGCUAACGCGUUAAACAUUCCGCCUGGGGACUACGGUCGCAAGAUUAAAACUCAAAGGAAUUGACGGGGACCCGCACAAGCGGUGGAGCAUGUGGUUUAAUUCGAUGCAACGCGAAAAACCUUACC